GGAGUGCUUGCACUCCUGAUGCUUAGCGGCGGACGGGUGAGUAAUACGUAGGUAACCUGCCCUUAAGACCGGGAUAACUCACGGAAACGUGGGCUAAUACCGGAUAGGCGAUUUCCUCGCAUGAGGGAAUCGGGAAAGGCGGAGCAAUCUGCCACUUAUGGAUGGACCUACGGCGCAUUAGCUAGUUGGUGGGGUAACGGCUCACCAAGGCGACGAUGCGUAGCCGACCUGAGAGGGUGAUCGGCCACACUGGGACUGAGACACGGCCCAGACUCCUACGGGAGGCAGCAGUAGGGAAUCUUCCGCAAUGGACGCAAGUCUGACGGAGCAACGCCGCGUGAGUGAUGAAGGUUUUCGGAUCGUAAAGCUCUGUUGCCAGGGAAGAACGCUAUGGAGAGUAACUGUUCCAUAGGUGACGGUACCUGAGAAGAAAGCCCCGGCUAACUACGUGCCAGCAGCCGCGGUAAUACGUAGGGGGCAAGCGUUGUCCGGAAUUAUUGGGCGUAAAGCGCGCGCAGGCGGUCAUGUAAGUCUGGUGUUUAAACCCGGGGCUCAACUCCGGGUCGCAUCGGAAACUGUGUGACUUGAGUGCAGAAGAGGAAAGUGGAAUUCCACGUGUAGCGGUGAAAUGCGUAGAGAUG
RNAcentral lists this ribosomal RNA (641 nucleotides) under Paenibacillus dendritiformis. Its description in RNAcentral is "bacterial SSU rRNA". It matches the Rfam family "Bacterial small subunit ribosomal RNA", at positions 73 to 698 of the family's 1533-position model. The record is from RNAcentral. Lineage: Bacteria; Bacillati; Bacillota; Bacilli; Caryophanales; Paenibacillaceae.